Molecule: small nuclear RNA, 111 nt
Filed under: Sorex araneus (European shrew)
Lineage: Eukaryota; Metazoa; Chordata; Mammalia; Eulipotyphla; Soricidae
Source: RNAcentral
GUGCUCACUUCGGCAGCACAUCUACUAAACCUGCACAGAUACAGAGAAGAUUGACAUGGCUCCCCGGCCACGAACGAUAAAAAAUGCGUGUCUGAUGAUGAAGACAUAGUU